RNAcentral lists this ribosomal RNA (406 nucleotides) under Salmonella enterica. RNAcentral describes it as "bacterial SSU rRNA". It matches the Rfam family "Bacterial small subunit ribosomal RNA", at positions 1 to 403 of the family's 1533-position model. The record is from RNAcentral. Lineage: Bacteria; Pseudomonadati; Pseudomonadota; Gammaproteobacteria; Enterobacterales; Enterobacteriaceae. RNAcentral also lists the same sequence under 1 other name.
AAAUUGAAGAGUUUGAUCAUGGCUCAGAUUGAACGCUGGCGGCAGGCCUAACACAUGCAAGUCGAACGGUAACAGGAAGCAGCUUGCUGCUUUGCUGACGAGUGGCGGACGGGUGAGUAAUGUCUGGGAAACUGCCUGAUGGAGGGGGAUAACUACUGGAAACGGUGGCUAAUACCGCAUAACGUCGCAAGACCAAAGAGGGGGACCUUCGGGCCUCUUGCCAUCAGAUGUGCCCAGAUGGGAUUAGCUUGUUGGUGAGGUAACGGCUCACCAAGGCGACGAUCCCUAGCUGGUCUGAGAGGAUGACCAGCCACACUGGAACUGAGACACGGUCCAGACUCCUACGGGAGGCAGCAGUGGGGAAUAUUGCACAAUGGGCGCAAGCCUGAUGCAGCCAUGCCGCGUG